RNAcentral lists this long non-coding RNA (2209 nucleotides) under Columba livia (rock pigeon). RNAcentral describes it as "partial uncharacterized LOC102096821, transcript variant X2". The record is from RNAcentral. Lineage: Eukaryota; Metazoa; Chordata; Aves; Columbiformes; Columbidae.
GGAAACUUUGGUCGCGUCCUGUGGCGUUAGCCCGUAACUGAGUCGGAAUCAAAAUGUUGCCUUGUAGGACAUCUGUAAGACCUCUCUACACAUAUGAGGCUGAGCACUCACUGGGAGGAAGAAACACAGCUACAGAAGAUAAACAUGUAUUGGGAGGGAUUUCUGGGUUGUACAGACUUCUGCAAGUGAGAACAUGGAGUGUGACUGUGAAAUAGAAUAAUGAAGUCCUUCAGUGAAGUUGCCAGCAGCAGGAAAAAAUAGAAGAGAAAGUCACAGAGUCAGGCCUUAUUACGCAGCAAAGAACCUGUUUGGUCUGUGGAACCAGGGAAUAAGUGUUGUUAAUCAUCUAAACUCAACACUUUCUGAAAAGACAAGACUGUCCAUCUCUAUUAACAUCGCCGACCUCAAAAUUUACACAAUAUGGUUAUUUUAAUCGGUUGUGCUGGCACUCUGUGCUGUGAAUACGCUCCAGCAUUUCUCUGUCCAAAUCCUCUUGUUGCCCCUGCCAGAUGAGCUGUGGUGCCCCACUUGGUCACUGGAUGGAUGUGCGUCUGCUAGAGACUGGCCAUGUAUCUCACUGCAGAGGUUGGCAUCUUCCCAUGUUGGGUGAAAUGACUUUGUGGGAGUAGCCAGUAUUUGAGGAAAUACCCCUAAAAAUGCCAAGUCCCAGCCAAAGCUCAAAGUGAUGUGUGAAAAACACUCGCAUUAGUGCCACAAAAGUCCAUCAGAGGAUGCGUUUUUGAAAGCAUCCCUGACUGUUGAAGAUUGGAGCCAUGGUUUAUGAUUCUCUAAAAAAACUUCUAGACUUAAAAGGAAUGUUAAGCCUUCAGGAAAGUCAGUGAAAAGGGCAAUGUCAUCUGAAUGCCCUGUUUGCAGCAUAUCAUCUUUCAGAGCAAUCAAUCACUCAUUUUGGAGCAGAGCUGUCCCUAAGCAGCGGAAGGUAACACACAAAGGGACAUAACGCAAGCCUGGCUUUCAGUUGGAGUGAUUUACUGUUGUCAUAAAUGUGUUUUCAGUCGCGAAGUGCCCAGAUUUCAACAUCAUCAUCCAAGUAUAACCACCCAACAAGUGCUGUCCACUUCCGAGCUGCAGAUCUCUUAGAUACACGUCCCAAGAACACAUCCAAUUUUGCAGCAAUGCUGCAUUGCCAUGCUGUUUUUAAUAAUUGCUGAACAAUAGUUUCGUGUCCUUAAUUAAGGUGGCAGCUGAUAACAUAGCAAUGGAAUGCAAAAUACUGGUAAAAAUGCAAUUCCCACACACGAGAAGGGUGUAUUUGUAAGAAGGGGUGAACAGAACAGGUGACCAAAAUUGACCAACUGAGUCAUUCACCCUAUAUAAGUGAGGGAUCACCUGAAGAGGACCCUGCCUGUUGUCCCUGUGAUCUAAGGCCUGGUUCCAGUGACUCCUGAAUCCAGGUCUGGUUUGCUGUGGAGUUCAGCCCAGGACUUCUGGGUGCCUGCCCUGCAGCUGCUGGAGCGGUGUGAAGUGGGGAAAUUCAAGGUUUCUCAUGGUCAGUAUGAUACUAAGACCCACACAAAGGAAGCACCAACUUCUUUCAUCUUUUCCGGCUAGAGGACAACACAAGGAAUGAAAACAUUGGAUAGAAUGUCUGAAAACAUUACACAGAAUUUUCUACUGGCUUUUUUGAUAACCUGAAUCAGGAUGACCAGUAAAGGAACUGGGAUUUGCUUGGAGCCAACAGACAAAUCUAGAACAACUCAUCAAGCUUGAAAUUAAAAGAUUUACAACCAUCACUCCCAGCAUUUUGACAGUCAUUCUAGCAAAUGAAUGACUGUAGUACUUAUUUCUGGGAGACAAAGGGGGCACAGUCUGGAACAUGUCAGAAGAGGUCCAGUUUCAUUUUAAAAAUUUCUGAAUUCAAAACCAAGCUCAUUUUGACUUGGAAAGAAACAGCUCUCUCAAAAUAUUUUGCCUGGUUCCAAUCACACUUAAUCACUGGUUGCCACAGAAAUCUUCCUCAGGGGGAGUGUUGGAGCUUUCUUUGCUUGAAAUGCUGUUGUCCCUCUCUUGCACUGCUCAACAGCACACAGACCAUUUAAAAUUUAUUUCUAAAACAAGAUUUGCUUUGUUUGGAUUCCUCCACUGACUAAAUUCAGACAUCACAGAAGCUGAUGCAACUGGGCUGACUCAUGACACCACUGAAUUUUUUCAAAGUCUAUUAUUAUAAAGUAAGAUCUACAUCAGUUUU